GAUGAACGCUGGCGGCGUGCCUAAUACAUGCAAGUCGAGCGAACAGACGAGAGUGCUUGCACUCUCUGACGUUAGCGGCGGACGGGUGAGUAACACGUGGGUAACCUACCUAUAAGACUGGGAUAACUUCGGGAAACUGGAGCUAAUACCGGAUAAUAUUUAGCUUCGCAUGACGCAAUAGUGAUAGACGGUUCUGCUGUCACUUAUAGAUGGACCCGCGGUGUAUUAGCUAGUUGGUGAGGUAACGGCUCACCAAGGCAACGAUACAUAGCCGACCUGAGAGGGUGAUCGGCCACACUGGGACUGAGACACGGCCCAGACUCCGACGGGAGGCAGCAGUAGGGAAUCUUCCGCGAUGGACGAAAGGCUGACGGAGCAAUGCCGCGUGAGGGAAGAAGGUGUUCGGAUCGUAAAACUCUGUUGUAAGGGAAGAACAAGUACGUUAGUAACUGAACGUACCUUGACGGUACCUUACCAGAAAGCCACGGCUAACUACGUG
RNAcentral lists this ribosomal RNA (499 nucleotides) under uncultured bacterium. Its description in RNAcentral is "partial 16S ribosomal RNA". It matches the Rfam family "Bacterial small subunit ribosomal RNA", at positions 28 to 507 of the family's 1533-position model. The record is from RNAcentral.